This 408-nucleotide ribosomal RNA is filed under the name uncultured bacterium. RNAcentral describes it as "partial 16S ribosomal RNA". It matches the Rfam family "Bacterial small subunit ribosomal RNA", at positions 29 to 526 of the family's 1533-position model. The record is from RNAcentral.
AGUGAACGCUGGCGGCGUGCCUAAUACAUGCAAGUCGAACGAAGUGGCGCACGGGUGAGUAAUAUAUAGUUAAUCUGCCCUACACAGAGGAACUACAGUUGGAAACGACUGCUAAUACCUCAUAGUGUAGGAUGGGACUAUAUCGUAUCAGCUAGUUGGUAAGGUAAUGGCGUACCAAGGCUAUGACGCGUAACUGGUCUGAGAGGAUGAGCAGUAAAAUUGGAAGUGAGGCACGGUCGAGAAACCUACGGGAAGCGGCAGAAGGGAAUAUUACGCAAGGGGCGAGACCCUAAAAGGGCAACGCCGCGUGAAGGAUGACACGUUUCGAAGAGUAAACUCCGUUUAUCAGGAAAGCGGUACCUGAUGAAUAAGCACCGGCUAACUCCGUGCCAGCAGCCGCGGUAAUAC